AAGCAUGCACCCGACCUAGUACAGAGCUCAUGCUAGUGGUUGAUGAAACUUCUGCGUCUUCAUUAUCCGAAUAUUUAUACUGAUGUCCAUUCUGAAAAGUCCCUUUACUGGAAUUUGGUCUAUGGGAAUCAAUUGCCAUAAAUAAGUUCAAAAUAUUAUCUUCACCUUCCCGCAAAACAGGCGUACUACCAUCAGUUCCACCAAUAAUUGAAUCUGAGAAUGAUAAGUAGUUGGAAAUACAACUACCUUCCAUUUCG
This 257-nucleotide unclassified non-coding RNA is filed under the name Hevea brasiliensis (rubber tree). Lineage: Eukaryota; Viridiplantae; Streptophyta; Magnoliopsida; Malpighiales; Euphorbiaceae. The record is from RNAcentral.